RNAcentral lists this unclassified non-coding RNA (432 nucleotides) under soil metagenome. RNAcentral describes it as "partial contains 5.8S ribosomal RNA, internal transcribed spacer 2, and large subunit ribosomal RNA". The stretch from base 1 to 120 matches the Rfam family "5.8S ribosomal RNA", at positions 35 to 154 of the family's 154-position model. The record is from RNAcentral.
GAUGAAGAACGUAGCGAAAUGCGAUACGUAAUGUGAAUUGCAGAAUUCAGUGAAUCAUCGAAUCUUUGAACGCAUAUUGCGCUCUCUGGUAUUCCGGAGAGCAUGCUUGUUUGAGUAUCAGUAAACACCUCAACUUCCAUAUCUUUUUUGAAAUGGGAGUUGGACUUGAGUGAUCCCAACGCUUUUCCUCACCGAAAAGUGGCGGGUUACUUGAAAUGCAGGUGCAGCUUGACUUUUCUCUGAGCUAUAAGCAUAUCUAUUUAGUCUGCCUAAAAAACAGAUUAUUACCUUUGCUGCAGCUAACAUAAAGGAGAUUAGUUCUUGUGCUGACUGAUGCAGGAUUCACAAAGACAGGCUUCGGCCGACUUUGUAAACUCGAUCUCAAAUCAAGUAAGACUACCCGCUGAACUUAAGCAUAUCAAAAGCGGAGGA